GACGAACGCUGGCGACGUGCUUAACACAUGCAAGUCGAACGAUGAAGCCUUAGCUUGCUUUGGUGGAUUAGUGGCGAACGGGUGAGUAACACGUGAGCAACGUGCCCAGGACUCUGGAAUAACCGCGGGAAACCGUGGCUAAUACCGGAUAGGUGCCGAGGCCGCAUGGUCUUCGGUUGGAAAGUUUUUGCGGUUCUGGAUCGGCUCACGGCCUAUCAGCUUGUUGGUGGGGUAAUGGCCUACCAAGGCGACGACGGGUAGCCGGCCUGAGAGGGUGACCGGCCACACUGGGACUGAGACACGGCCCAGACUCCUACGGGAGGCAGCAGUGGGGAAUAUUGCACAAUGGGCGCAAGCCUGAUGCAGCAACGCCGCGUGGGGGAUGACGGCCUUCGGGUUGUAAACCUCUUUUAGUAGGGAAGAAGCGCAAGUGACGGUACCUGCAGAAAAAGCACCGGCUAACUACGUG
Molecule: ribosomal RNA, 469 nt
Filed under: uncultured bacterium
Lineage: Bacteria
Description: partial 16S ribosomal RNA
Rfam family: Bacterial small subunit ribosomal RNA
Source: RNAcentral